RNAcentral lists this long non-coding RNA (427 nucleotides) under Pan troglodytes (chimpanzee). Its description in RNAcentral is "long non-coding RNA NONPTRT014283". Lineage: Eukaryota; Metazoa; Chordata; Mammalia; Primates; Hominidae. The record is from RNAcentral.
AGAGAACUGGAGCUGAGGCCAUCAAGGCAGCCAGGAGCCAGGUGCAGACUGGGCUUUGACUCUGUGUGCAGGGAGGAACUGCUGAAGGUUCCAAGCAAAGGACCGCCCUGACCUGCCUUAGGUUUGAACAGGAUCCCUCUGGCUGGUGUAUGAAGAAUUAACUGUAGAUGGGCAAGUGUGGAAGGAAGGAGAGCAGUCAGGAAGCUGCCACAACCAUCUACAUGAGAGAGAAUCGUGUAACAGACACUACUCAAUAUCGAUCUCAACUGAUCCAGUUCUCCAGUCUCCCUGGAAAACAAUGGAUUGAUGCCCAGGGUGCGCUGAACACUGGAACCAUGGUCACUUCUGCACUUCACACGAUUCUGCUCCCACCAGUUGAGCUACCAACAGUUCCUGGUGCUUUUGCUUCCCAAACAUGUUUAUGCCA